GAUGAACGCUAGCGGCAGGCCUAACACAUGCAAGUCGAGGGAGAGGUUACCUUCGUGUAACCAAAACCGGCGCACGGGUGCGUAACGCGUAUACAAUCUGCCUUUCACAUAGGGAUAGCCCGAAGAAAUUUGGAUUAAUACCUAAUGGUAUAUAAGAGCGGCAUCGUUUUUAUAUUAAAGCUACGGUGGUGAAAGAUGAGUAUGCGUUCUAUUAGCUAGUUGGAGAGGUAACGGCUCCCCAAGGCGACGAUAGAUAGGGGUUCUGAGAGGGAUGUCCCCCACACUGGUACUGAGAUACGGACCAGACUCCUACGGGAGGAAGCAGUGAGGAAUAUUGGACAAUGGUCGGAAGACUGAUCCAGCCAUGCCGCGUGCAGGAUGAAGGUCCUAUGGAUUGUAAACUGGUUUUGUAAGGGAAGAAUAAGGAGUACGUGUACUUUGAUGACGGUACCUUACGAAUAAGCAUCGGCUAACUCCGUG
RNAcentral lists this ribosomal RNA (480 nucleotides) under uncultured bacterium. Its description in RNAcentral is "partial 16S ribosomal RNA". It matches the Rfam family "Bacterial small subunit ribosomal RNA", at positions 28 to 507 of the family's 1533-position model. The record is from RNAcentral.